This 1287-nucleotide long non-coding RNA is filed under the name Neogobius melanostomus (round goby). Its description in RNAcentral is "lncRNA (ENSNMLG00000000164.1)". Lineage: Eukaryota; Metazoa; Chordata; Actinopteri; Gobiiformes; Gobiidae. The record is from RNAcentral.
AGAACUGACCUGGUGUUGUCCUUCAGCGCAGUGAAGCAGUUUGUGAGGGACAGCCUGUCCUCUCAGACCUCCCUCAUCACCCUGUCCCACGUGGCUGCACUGGAGAAGAAACUCACCAAGCACUUCCAUCUCAACAACUUCCUCAGUCUGGAGAUGGGCAGCUUCUUAGACUUCCUCACCAAACAUAUACAGCUCCUCCAGGAGUGCCUGGGCUCGGCUCUGGUCCUCAGCAGCAGCAGCAGUCUGGGGCUGGGGGGCAGUGGUUUCAAACCCACCCGACAGGACGUGUUUGAGUUCAUCAAACAGUGUGGAGAUGUGGACCACAAUGACCCAGAGGAGGUACAGUCUUCAUGCACCCAGAGAGACUCAACUACUGUCAACAAUAGCAUUAGUAAACUGAAGAAAACACACUCAUUUCAAGAGUCAGGAUAUUUAAAGUUGGGGGUAUUAUCUUCAUUGUCUGACACCUUGUUGAUCAGAAAAUGAGAUAUUGAUCUAAAACAAAGUAUUCAAAUUUCCCCUUUGUUUACUGUUGGGGCCUUUUGUAGUUUGGGAAAUAACUGUUCUUUAAAUUACCAAGUUAUGACACAAUGUCCCACAAAUAUAACUUUUCCACUAAAAAAGAGCACAACUCCUUUAGUAAAUGUGGGAAAAAGGUCCCACAUUUACAAGACCAAAGGACCAAGGUCUUUUUGGUCUGGAAGACAUUAAGGCAUGAAUGUAAAUGUGAACGUUUCCAUAUAAAAGUGCAGUAGUGAUAUGUUCUAAAAGUAAGGUGUUCCGUCUGUCCCGCUCAGCUCUCUCUCAUAGACUCGGCUCUGCGGGCUCACUACCGGCUCAGGGACUGCAGAGACCUGGGCUUCGGUUCUCUGCACAGACUGGCCAUCUAGUGCAGAAGCAGCUCUCCGGAGGCGGACUCAGCCCCGUCCACUACGAGGCGGCGCUGCUGGCCAGACACGACGGCUCAUGGUGGGUGACACACACGAAAUCCACUCAUCUGGAGGGUAACUCACUGCUCUGCUUUUCCACAGUGUCACAGCAGAAGGGGAGUCUGUGGGUCGUCUGGGCGCGAUGAACAAAGAUCAGGCCCUGUCCAGUCUACUCUCCUGCCCCCUGCUGGAGGACAUGGGCCAGUGGAGCCAAUGGGACCUGGUGUUCAAACCACUUUUUGGCUCUUUGAAAGAUUUCAUGGAGAGAAAUGCAGGUAUGAUUUUCAGAAUUGGAUAAGACUCGCCAAAUGACCGGCCUAAAGGCUAAAGAUUGAUGACACCUGAAAAACCUGGCCCC